This is a long non-coding RNA of Dufourea novaeangliae, 305 nucleotides long. RefSeq lists it as uncharacterized. The transcript is spliced from 2 exons. The record is from RefSeq and is a predicted model, not a curated record. NCBI's taxonomy places the organism in Eukaryota, Metazoa, Arthropoda, Insecta, Hymenoptera, Halictidae.
UUCCAAGGAAGACAACAUGAAGAAGGAACUGAGCUUAGCGUUCCUCGUUCUGUCCAUGAUUUUCUUGUCGACAUUUUACAUUACGCCUUCUGAAGCUGAAGCGAUCCCCCCUAGAAGACGUAGGAAAGGAUAAUUAACUUCUACGCAUAACAAUGGCUUGAAGCCGGGAGGUCAUAUCACCGGCGUUUAUUGCACGCAGAUGUUGAUGUCAUUGGCACCCAAUACAAACUUAGUUUCUGAUUGAGUGUAACAAUUUACAUUAUGUAUUUUCAUUGGAUAUAAAAUUAGGUGUACAUCGGCCAUAA